UCCUUAUUUAUAUAUUUAUUUAUUUUUUCUUCCUCGCCCUGCCCGUCCACCGUUUCAGGCUCUGCUACAAUUACCAGUCCCAGUUUUCUCUGCUUCGAUCAUACGAACUCCUUUCCCUAAUCUAAUUUCCAAUCACAGACGCUACUUCAUCUUUCCAAGGCUAGCAUGGGAAUUUCUAUCAAUUCCGUGCUUAACAUCGUUGUCGGUCCUCGCUAAGUUCUUUAAGAUGUUCCUCACCUAUCUGAUUACAUCCCUAAUCUUCCUAAAAAUCUCAUCAACCAAUGAAAAAGCAGGUGAAGAUGGAAGAUGAAGAUAUGUGAAAUGAAAGGGAAAAGUGAGUCUACGAUUGUAGGGGGAUAACUGAAGGAACGUGAUACCGUAGCUAUUAAGGGCAUUAUGGGAAUUUAAACAAAGUAUUUUCUGCAGUGGAUCCAGCAUUUCUCUUAAUAUUAUUGGCUAAUUUGGAAAAUUUAAUUAGAGUUUAUUAUUAUAAUAAAUUGAGAAACUUAAUUUAAUUUA
Molecule: long non-coding RNA, 519 nt
Organism: Ziziphus jujuba (common jujube)
Lineage: Eukaryota; Viridiplantae; Streptophyta; Magnoliopsida; Rosales; Rhamnaceae
Exons: 2
Source: RefSeq, a predicted model, not a curated record